UGGGGAAUAUUGCACAAUGGGCGCAAGCCUGAUGCAGCCAUGCCGCGUGUGUGAAGAAGGCCUUCGGGUUGUAAAGUACUUUCAGCGAGGAGGAAGGCGGUAAGGUUAAUAACCUUAUCGAUUGACGUUACUCGCAGAAGAAGCACCGGCUAACUCCGUGCCAGCAGCCGCGGUAAUACGGAGGGUGCAAGCGUUAAUCGGAAUUACUGGGCGUAAAGCGCACGCAGGCGGUCUGUCAAGUCGGAUGUGAAAUCCCCGGGCUCAACCUGGGAACUGCAUUCGAAACUGGCAGGCUAGAGUCUUGUAGAGGGGGGUAGAAUUCCAGGUGUAGCGGUGAAAUGCGUAGAGAUCUGGAGGAAUACCGGUGGCGAAGGCGGCCCCCUGGACAAAGACUGACGCUCAGGUGCGAAAGCGUGGGGAGCAAACA
This 427-nucleotide ribosomal RNA is filed under the name uncultured bacterium. Its description in RNAcentral is "partial 16S ribosomal RNA". It matches the Rfam family "Bacterial small subunit ribosomal RNA", at positions 355 to 774 of the family's 1533-position model. The record is from RNAcentral.